Molecule: long non-coding RNA, 1081 nt
Filed under: Sus scrofa (pig)
Lineage: Eukaryota; Metazoa; Chordata; Mammalia; Artiodactyla; Suidae
Description: lncRNA (ENSSSCG00005022229.1)
Rfam family: Small nucleolar RNA SNORD87 (bases 509-597)
Source: RNAcentral
CCGUCGGCCUGGCGCGAGGGGCGGCAGCGCCUGCGGCCAGUCGCCGGGCUCUUCGUAUCGGGGGUCCCCGCGGAGUUAAGUCCGCUUCCUGCCGGGAACCCGACUCUGUGCCAGAGCCCAUGAAUCAGCCUCGGGCCCCUCCGUCCUGUGGGUCCAGGGCCCCGGGCCCCGGUACCUUUCGGGGUGCAGCCGAGCGGUCGGCGUCGCCUCAGCUUCAAGGUCAUCCCGGGAGGCCACCUUCUCCCCAGCCCUGGUGGACGCAGCCUUGAGCUUAACUCCGCGCCUUCUGCUCAGUCGCAUUUUGUACAACAGAACUCCUAAGUUGAAGAUGAAUGAAGGUCAUCUUCAGAUAAAUGUUUUCUAAAAUUUGCCAUAGAGGAUGGCUAUGAAAAAAACCACUAGGAGGACAACUGCAUGUUACAAGGUACCAAAGGUUAUAAUGUUAAAUUGUGUGCUUUUUUAUGUUUGUGGUAUUAUUCCUGAAGAACAGUACCAAAAAUGUUUAAUAACUGGCAUAAUGAUGACUCAAAUUACUUUUUGCCGUUUACCCAGCUGAGGGUGACUUUGAAGAAAUAAUUUCAAGACUGAGAUGCCAGUAACCCAUGUUAUGUGAAUUACUUAAAUAUAAUGCAGUUCUUAUUAAAAUAGGUGAAAUGUUCUUUUCAACAUACAGGUACCUGCAGGUGAAUGUUCAAGUCCUUAGCAUUAGUGUAGAAAUACUUCAUUGCCUCAAGUAAGUACAUAAGAUUUGUCAAAUAACCAAAUUUAUUGAUAACUUGAAACUAUCUGAUAAAACUCCAAAGGGCUGGGGCCAUUUCCUUUUAAAAAUGCCUUUGUGAGUCAGCUGUAUGAUUUUCUCUGUUUUGAGAAUGGAAUGAUUUUUACUGUUUCUGAUUUUUUUUUUUCCAGAGAUGUGGCAUACAGCAUUUCGGAAGGAAAAAUGAACUGGUCAAGAAGACAUGAAGCAAAUGAUGAAAAAUUAAUAAUUUUAUUUAACAUUGAUCAUCUCACAAUAAAUUCUGUAGAAAAAUACAAAUUCAAAUUAUUAAUUGCGGGACAAUAAAGUCUGUUAUCUUUAAAG